AGAGAGAAGCUUGCUUCUCUUGAGAGCGGCGGACGGGUGAGUAAUGCCUAGGAAUCUGCCUGGUAGUGGGGGAUAACGUUCGGAAACGGACGCUAAUACCGCAUACGUCCUACGGGAGAAAGCAGGGGACCUUCGGGCCUUGCGCUAUCAGAUGAGCCUAGGUCGGAUUAGCUAGUUGGUGAGGUAAUGGCUCACCAAGGCGACGAUCCGUAACUGGUCUGAGAGGAUGAUCAGUCACACUGGAACUGAGACACGGUCCAGACUCCUACGGGAGGCAGCAGUGGGGAAUAUUGGACAAUGGGCGAAAGCCUGAUCCAGCCAUGCCGCGUGUGUGAAGAAGGUCUUCGGAUUGUAAAGCACUUUAAGUUGGGAGGAAGGGCAGUUACCUAAUACGUGAUUGUUUUGACGUUACCGACAGAAUAAGCACCGGCUAACUCUGUGCCAGCAGCCGCGGUAAUACAGAGGGUGCAAGCGUUAAUCGGAAUUACUGGGCGUAAAGCGCGCGUAG
This 508-nucleotide ribosomal RNA is filed under the name Pseudomonas sp. RNAcentral describes it as "bacterial SSU rRNA". It matches the Rfam family "Bacterial small subunit ribosomal RNA", at positions 71 to 574 of the family's 1533-position model. Lineage: Bacteria; Pseudomonadati; Pseudomonadota; Gammaproteobacteria; Pseudomonadales; Pseudomonadaceae. The record is from RNAcentral.